UAAAUAAGAACUCAUGAAAUAUUCUAGUAAUGCUUUUGUAUAUUCUUUUAAGUCCGACAAUCAUAAAUUCUUUAUUGAAUGGUGUGCGUGGAUUUGGACAAUCACGACCAGUUUUACAUGAAAUUGCAACUGUAAUGUAAAAAAAAUGUUAUAUAUUAAAAUGGAAUAAAUAUUGUGUAAGAAGGAAAUUUGUAAUGGAGAUAAAAACACUUUACCACGUGCAAUUUUUGUUGAAUCAUGAAACAAGGAAAGAAUGAUUAUCAUAAUAUUAACAAACUUGAAAAUUUUAUCCAUAUUUUCCAAUUUUUGCAUGUAUUAAAUAGAAUAUUAUUUUAUCACUUUUUGAUUCAUAAAUUAAAGCUCAUUUUCUUCGUACAUCAACUACAUAGUUUUUAGUACUUACAUAUAGUUGUAAAAAGACUUCUAAUUUUUAAAUAAUUAUUAAAUGUCUCUUAAGCACAACAAUGUGUUAAUUUGCUCCUUUAGCACCUUAUGUAAAGAGGUCGAGUAAAAAUUUACAAAUCAAAAUAAUUCAUUCUCAAGGUACGUGAAAUUAGAAAAGCUAAAAGAAAAUUCACUUAAUGAGGGAUCACAAUAACAAAAUAAGAACUCAAGGAAAAUUCACGUAGUGCAUUUGUGUAUUCUUUUGGGUUUGAAAAUCAUAUAAUCUUUGGAGCUUUAUAAUUAGCCUAUACACAAUCAGUGGCGGAACUGGAAAAUAAUUCUUGGGUGGGCCGCAAAAAAUUAUAAUAUUUAAAUUAAAUAUAAAAAUUAUAUUUCAUACAAAAAUUUAAUUUAGAAUAAAUAUAAAUUUUACUAUAAAAUUAAA
Molecule: long non-coding RNA, 829 nt
Filed under: Trifolium pratense (red clover)
Lineage: Eukaryota; Viridiplantae; Streptophyta; Magnoliopsida; Fabales; Fabaceae
Description: long non-coding RNA (TPRA_LNC004823)
Source: RNAcentral